AUGUUCUCUUACGGUUGGAUUUUCCUUACAGCAGAAGACAAUUCUUUGGAGUCAGAUCGACAAAAGCUUUCAAAAUAUUAUGUCUUGUCAGGGCAGUGCUAUCUUACAGAAGCACAGGAGGUAAAAAUGCUUGCACUUGUAAAGAAAAUUCGACCUGAAAUCCCGGUGCUUGUUGUCCAGAUGAAGAAGAGCAAUGUAAACAAUAGUCGUACUCUGGCAAUAUGUAAGGAUUACACACUCGAGCACUUGCCAUGCGGAGAAACAGUUAUCAUACUCCAGCUGCCUAGGAAAAACAAGGUUUGGAAGUGCAAACUCUAUAACAGGCCAUCUAGAACGUCUGACGCUGGUCGGCGCAACCUUUAUUUGGGGAACUUUGUCCGUGACAAUCCUGUCAGAGAAGGCGAUAUCUGCCUCUUUCAACCAAUGACAAAUGUUAAGCAGAAAAGAUUCACAAUGACUGUCCAUCUCCUUAGCAAAACGAGCGUUAAUCAUUCCCCUGGUGCAAGAAAUGGCAUUGGCUCAAAUCAUGGAAGGACAAGCACAAAAAAGGCAGGUGAUGUGGAGGAACCACCUACCGAUGGUAUGUCAGCUUGA
RNAcentral lists this ribosomal RNA (594 nucleotides) under Triticum aestivum (bread wheat). RNAcentral's name for it is "partial small subunit ribosomal RNA". The record is from RNAcentral. Lineage: Eukaryota; Viridiplantae; Streptophyta; Magnoliopsida; Poales; Poaceae.